Non-coding RNA from Schistosoma curassoni, 45 nucleotides. Lineage: Eukaryota; Metazoa; Platyhelminthes; Trematoda; Strigeidida; Schistosomatidae. The record is from Rfam.
GUCCAGCUGACGAGUCCCAAAUAGGAUGAAACGCUCCUCUUGGAU